This 274-nucleotide ribosomal RNA is filed under the name uncultured bacterium. Its description in RNAcentral is "partial 16S ribosomal RNA". It matches the Rfam family "Bacterial small subunit ribosomal RNA", at positions 523 to 796 of the family's 1533-position model. The record is from RNAcentral.
AUACGAAGGGGGCUAGCGUUGUUCGGAAUCACUGGGCGUAAAGCGCGCGUAGGUGGAUCAAUUAGUUGAGGGUGAAAUCCCAGGGCUCAACCUCGGAACUGCCUUCAAUACUGUUGAUCUUGGGACCGAGAGAGGUGAGUGGAAUUCCUAGUGUAGAGGUGAAAUUCGUAGAUAUUAGGAAGAACACCAGUGGCGAAGGCGGCUCACUGGCUCGGUACUGACGCUGAGGUGCGAAAGCGUGGGGAGCAAACAGGAUUAGAAACCCUAGUAGUCC